RNAcentral lists this ribosomal RNA (165 nucleotides) under uncultured bacterium. Its description in RNAcentral is "partial 16S ribosomal RNA". It matches the Rfam family "Bacterial small subunit ribosomal RNA", at positions 355 to 511 of the family's 1533-position model. The record is from RNAcentral.
UAGGGAAUCUUCCACAAUGGACGAAAGUACUGAUGGAGCAACGCCGCGUGAGUGAAGAAGGGUUUCGGCUCGUAAAACUCUGUUGUUAAAGAAGAACAUAUCUGAGAGUAACUGUUCAGGUAUUGACGGUAUUUAACCAGAAAGCCACGGCUAACUACGUGCCAG